UUUAUAAAUAAUAGGUAGUCCCUGCUCAGAGAGAAAUUAAAUAGCCGCAGUAUCUUGACUGUGCUAAGGUAGCAUAAUAAAUUGUUCUUUUAAUAGAAGGCUAGAAUGAAAGGGAUGACGGUGCUUUAGCUUUCUUGAUUCAACCAGUAGAAAUUGAUAUUUUCCUCAAAAAGUGAAACUUUUUAAAAAGACGACAAGACCCUGUAAAGCUUGAACUUUAAAAAAUGUGUUUAACCUGUUUUACCUCUCAUUUUAAAAGUUAAGCUGGGGCGGCAGAUUUUAGACUAAAUCAAAUUUUACACUAAUAUGUGUUUCAGAAAGACCUUUUUAUUAAAAUAGAAUAAGCUACUUUAGGGAUAACAGCACAAUUCCUCUGUAGAGGUCCUAUCGAUAGAGGAGACUUGUGACCUCGAUGUUGAAUUUGAGGGGCUCUCCUCAAGCAGAAAGGAGGAGAGAGGGGUCUGUUCGACCUUUAAUUCCUC
Molecule: ribosomal RNA, 482 nt
Filed under: Disconectes sp. 02 SB-2021a
Lineage: Eukaryota; Metazoa; Arthropoda; Malacostraca; Isopoda; Munnopsidae
Description: partial 16S ribosomal RNA
Rfam family: Bacterial large subunit ribosomal RNA
Source: RNAcentral